GAUGAACGCUGGCGGCGUGCCUAAUACAUGCAAGUCGAGCGAACAGAUGAGGAGCUUGCUCCUCUGACGUUAGCGGCGGACGGGUGAGUAACACGUGGAUAACCUACCUAUAAGACUGGGAUAACUUCGGGAAACCGGAGCUAAUACCGGAUAAUAUAUUGAACCGCAUGGUUCAAUAGUGAAAGACGGUUUUGCUGUCACUUAUAGAUGGAUCCGCGCCGCAUUAGCUAGUUGGUAAGGUAACGGCUUACCAAGGCAACGAUGCGUAGCCGACCUGAGAGGGGGAUCAGCCCAACUGGAAAUGGAAAACGGUCCAGAAUCCUACGGGGGGGAGGAGGGGGGAAUUUUGGCCAAAGGGGGGAAGCCUGAACGGGGCAAGCCGGGGGGGGGAAGAAGGGUCUCGGAUUGGAAAAACCUUUUAAUGGGGAAAAAAAAAAGUUGUAAGAAACUUGGCCGUUUUGAAGGGUCCAAAAGAAGAAACACCGGGUAACUUAGGU
This 497-nucleotide ribosomal RNA is filed under the name uncultured bacterium. Its description in RNAcentral is "partial 16S ribosomal RNA". It matches the Rfam family "Bacterial small subunit ribosomal RNA", at positions 28 to 507 of the family's 1533-position model. The record is from RNAcentral.